This is a long non-coding RNA of Calypte anna (Anna's hummingbird), 110 nucleotides long. RefSeq lists it as uncharacterized. Lineage: Eukaryota; Metazoa; Chordata; Aves; Apodiformes; Trochilidae. The transcript has 3 exons. The record is from RefSeq and is a predicted model, not a curated record.
GCCCUGAGCAGGCAGGAGCUGCUCCAUUUAUGUGGGGUGCACCUGCUGUGGACAGAGGAGCCACAGAUGACCUUUGUGAAGGAGGCUCAAUAAGGAGUUCUGAGGUGGAG